CAGCCGCCGCACCAGCGAAGCUCCAAAAGCAUCUGGACUACUUCUCUCUUCAGGUGCUCUCUCUCUCUCUCUCUCUCGGUUAAACUGAACUUAUAUACUGCCGGACAAAGCCAUUCAAUCUUGUUCUCGAGGCAUCUGUUCGACGAUGCUUGCAAUUGUCCUCGUAUGGGCAGAGUUAUGCCUAAAGUGUAGACAAUCACGUUAUUACCCAGACGGAUGGGAAUUGAUAGAACCCAUGCUUCGAGAAUUGCAAACUGAGAUCAGGGAAUGUUAAUAUUUUUGUUAUUUUAUUUAGCUGUUUUUGCAACGACGUGUGGAAGCUGAGGAAUUUGCUCUACCGUUGGCUUGUAACCAGGGUGAUGAAGAGCUAUAAAUCUUCCUCGAAAAAGAAGGUUUGAUCCUAGGCUUUUUAAUUGUUGGAGUUGGUUGAUGAUUUAUCAUGGAAGAGAAUGAUUAUAUGUCAUCUGUGGCUCAAGUUGUUUGAUACGAAAUAAUCUUCAUUAUUUGUUCCUUUGUUGUGUGUAUAACCAUCGUCUCCUAGAAGAUUGAUUUUUUUAGGCUGAAAUGCGUACACGAUCCUCAUGAUGGCAAGCGCAAAUGUGAGGCACUGUGGCCCAUUUUCAAGAUCGCUCACCAGAAAAGCUGACAUGUAUUUGAUUUGUAUCACUGCAGGAAACAAAUCUCGAGAGAAUUGUAUGAGUUCUGCUUGGAGCAGGGUUAUGCUGACAGAAACCUUAUUACCAAGUGGAAGAAGACUGCUUAGGCUCAUCCGACAACCAUUGCUAAAACAGCUUAUUUGUCAGCAACGGGCUUGUCAUGCCCGGUUGGGGAAAGAUCUUCAGGGAAAAAAGCAGUGACCGCGAGAAUGGGAAA
Molecule: long non-coding RNA, 873 nt
Organism: Rhodamnia argentea
Lineage: Eukaryota; Viridiplantae; Streptophyta; Magnoliopsida; Myrtales; Myrtaceae
Exons: 3
Source: RefSeq, a predicted model, not a curated record